GGAAGCUGGUCUUGUUUCUGUAUGGAGCCCAGAGCCGUGGAAUGCAGCGUCAGGACACCUCCAGCACACUGUUGAUAAUGGCUACAAUGCUGUUUCUUCCAAUGAGCCGGAGUGAACAUGUCUCUCACUAUAGUCAUAACAGAAAUCACUCCCCAGUGUGAAGGUAACAGAUCUUCUGGAAAGAAAUUAUAGUCGUUCAAACAAUGGCAACUCAGAUGUAUGAUCACAGCUACUUGAAAUGUGCAGUUCUGGAAAUAGAGAAUUAAAACUAGAAUGCUCCACAAUGGAAAUGGAAUCAGUGGCCAACACAAAUUACUCCUUAGAUAAUCAACUGCCAAUAAACCUGAUUUCUUGAUUCUGGCAACAG
Molecule: long non-coding RNA, 367 nt
Filed under: Equus caballus (horse)
Lineage: Eukaryota; Metazoa; Chordata; Mammalia; Perissodactyla; Equidae
Description: lncRNA (ENSECAG00000049860.1)
Source: RNAcentral